AAAUCUUAUCUUCUUCCGGCCAGACUCCCACACGCUCUCUCAUCUCCCCACGCUCAUACCUGCAGCCAUCAGCGCCGCCCGGUCCCUCGCUACCCCGGGGGCCCCCAUGGCGUGACUGGCGGCGCGGGCUGCUGCUACCUCCACGGCCAGUGGCACAUCCGGGCGCAGGGCAGCGGAGCUCGCGCGGCGGCCAGGGGCAGAGCUCCCCGCGCCUAGGGGCGGAUCUCGGCGGCGGCACGGCCGGCCGCGAGCCGCGGCUUCCCCCGUGCCGGCUGACGGAGGAGCUCCGGGCGGUGUUCAUGGUGGGCAGGCUGGUUUUGGUGCACACUAUGUUGCGAUGGACUACUGAAACGUUCGAUGGGAAAUGUUCCCAUCGGACGUCUGGGCGCUAGCAAUUUCUUUCUUAGCGGGCAUAAGAGGAUGUCAACUGUGGGCUAGUGGCUAUGUCUCCUGAUGGGUCAAAAGUCAAAAAUCAUAUCUCCGGAACGCAUGGACGAGCGCGCAGCAGCGGUCAAGCGUUGAACCAAUCAAGCUGCCGUUGCUAUUCCGGACCAAGACUUCACGCAGGAGUCACCCAUUGCUUGUUAGCACUUAGCAGCAAUUCCUCUCCGUCGCCCUGCAGCCGAUUAGUGCUCAUCUGCUCGAUGACACACAUCUCCAAACAGAUAAUUACAUGGCGAUAAUAUAGUUUACUUGAAAAGACAUGCUAUUAUCACACUAAUCAAGUGUCACACUUGAAAAGGGAGGCUACGUGCGACAUCGAUGAUUCUUCGGAGAACAUGCCCCAAGGUGGAUGCAGCAAAAUUCUCUCUCUAUUUGAGGGAAGUUGGAGUAAAAUUGUUGUGAAACAUUACAUUAGUGAUCAAUUACUGUUAUUAAUCACCAAAGGGCUCCUCCGAAGGGCCAACUCCAAAGGACAUCACAAUUGUAUAUAUAUGUAAACAAUCCUAUCAAUGAGAAUCACUUGAGACU
Panicum hallii is the source of this 972-nucleotide long non-coding RNA. RefSeq lists it as uncharacterized. The transcript is spliced from 2 exons. The record is from RefSeq and is a predicted model, not a curated record. NCBI's taxonomy places the organism in Eukaryota, Viridiplantae, Streptophyta, Magnoliopsida, Poales, Poaceae.